UACGGGGGGGGCACGCGUUGUUCGGAAUUACUGGGCGUAAAGGGCGCGUAGGUGGUUCGGUAAGUCGGAUGUGAAAUCUCCAGGCUCAACCUGGAGGGGUCAUUCGAUACUGCCGUGACUAGAGUUCGGUAGGGGAGUGUGGAAUUCCUGGUGGAGCGGUGAAAUGCGCAGAUAUCAGGAGGAACACCCGUAGCGAAGGCGGCACUCUGGGCCGAUACUGACACUGAGGAGCGAAAGCGUGGGGAGCGAACAGG
RNAcentral lists this ribosomal RNA (254 nucleotides) under uncultured bacterium. RNAcentral's name for it is "partial 16S ribosomal RNA". It matches the Rfam family "Bacterial small subunit ribosomal RNA", at positions 524 to 776 of the family's 1533-position model. The record is from RNAcentral.